This 638-nucleotide ribosomal RNA is filed under the name uncultured Ascomycota. Its description in RNAcentral is "LSU rRNA". It matches the Rfam family "Eukaryotic large subunit ribosomal RNA", at positions 594 to 1236 of the family's 3401-position model. Lineage: Eukaryota; Fungi; Ascomycota. The record is from RNAcentral.
CCUGAACUGAGGUCCGCGCAUCUGCUAGGAUGCUGGCGUAAUGGCUGUAAGCGGCCCGUCUUGAAACACGGACCAAGGAGUCUAACAUCUAUGCGAGUGUUUGGGUGUCAAGCCCGAGCGCGUAAUGAAAGUGAACGGAGGUGGGAACCCCUCGGGGCGCACCAUCGACCGAUCCUGAUGUCUUCGGAUGGAUUUGAGUAAGAGCAUAGCUGUUGGGACCCGAAAGAUGGUGAACUAUGCCUGAAUAGGGUGAAGCCAGAGGAAACUCUGGUGGAGGCUCGCAGCGGUUCUGACGUGCAAAUCGAUCGUCAAAUUUGGGCAUAGGGGCGAAAGACUAAUCGAACUAUCUAGUAGCUGGUUCCUGCCGAAGUUUCCCUCAGGAUAGCAGUAACGUUUUCAGUUUUAUGAGGUAAAGCGAAUGAUUAGAGGCCUGGGGGUUGAAACAACCUUCACCUAUUCUCAAACUUUAAAUAUGUAAGAAGUCCUUGUUUCUUAAUUGAACGUGGACAUUUGAAUGUAUCGUUACUAGUGGGCCAUUUUUGGUAAGCAGAACUGGCGAUGCGGGAUGAACCGAACGCGGGGUUAAGGUGCCAGAAUGCACGCUCAUCAGACACCACAAAAGGUGUUGGUUCAUCUAG